Molecule: unclassified non-coding RNA, 366 nt
Filed under: Gamocarpha compacta
Lineage: Eukaryota; Viridiplantae; Streptophyta; Magnoliopsida; Asterales; Calyceraceae
Description: Nastanthus compactus partial external transcribed spacer
Source: RNAcentral
GGUAGCAUUCCUCUUCAACGUCGUCAAUCACGCACCAACAUGUGAACACGUGACCGACGUCGUUUUUAGAGAAGCGAGAACGCUUAUUUGGGGCAAAAACAAGGCCAUAACGGCCCCAUACCCACAUAAGGUUCCAUAUCCGAGAGACCAAGCAACGCUCCAUGGGCCAUGAAACCAACCCUUAUGCACCAGUAGCAUGGAUCACAGAGAAUACUUCAAGGUUCAACCCGCGCCACAAGAGCAGCGCGCAAUGAACAAGGACACUGUUACGGCGAUACAAUUCCUUCAUAUAGGUAUGCAACACAGAGAUCCCACGCAGUGCUCAAGGCAAAAAUAUGCCUUGAACUCAAUUGAAAAGGUAUGCCA